ACGCAGCUUAAGCUCUAGCAGAUAUGGCAGCCACAUUAACCUGUUUCUGCAGAUUCAACUUAAUCCCCUUUUACUUUUCCGAUUAGAAUCCUUGUCCAUCAAACGUCUGGCUCUUAAACUAAAGAACAUUGAAACUUACAAGGACAACAAGAACCUCGAGAAAGGCAAAAAUAUCAGUAAGGAGCUCAUUGAAGCCAUCGAAGACUCGAUAUUCUACGCAUUUUCAUCUUGGUGCUUGGAUGAGCUUGUCAAGACUAUGGAGUGCCAAAAGACGCACACUGAGAGAAGACAAGACUGUUUACCCUAUCUUUUAUGAUGUGAAACACAAUGAAGUCCGCAAUCAAAGUGGGCCAUUUAGGACAACUACUGAUGGGUAAUUCUUCGUUUGUUUCUUUUCAUGUUUUAUUGUCAUCAAACUCCAACUCGAACUUGAGUACUCUUCUCAAAUAUUAAACUGAAAUAUGAUUAUAUAUGUGACUCCAUAAUUACUUCU
Cynara cardunculus var. scolymus (artichoke) is the source of this 493-nucleotide long non-coding RNA. RefSeq lists it as uncharacterized. NCBI's taxonomy places the organism in Eukaryota, Viridiplantae, Streptophyta, Magnoliopsida, Asterales, Asteraceae. The transcript has 2 exons. The record is from RefSeq and is a predicted model, not a curated record.